UAACUCGCAGAUAGAAAUCCCUUGGACAUUGCUCGUGGCUUGCACAUGAUGAACCUUCCCCACCCAAAAUAACUCGUAGACACACGGGCAUGACAUGUGUUCCUUUUCCCUAACAUACAGGCAAGUUCCGCAUGAGACUGAGUUACGGGCAAAACACGCAAGGGCGCACAAGAGUGUUUUCUCUGCCUGUACUGCAAGCCCAAUGUGAACCCGUAGACAUAGAUAGAUUAUGAUCAAGUGACACUAACUAGCAAACUGCGCCAUCUGCAAACCAUCACAUCCCCUACAGCUCCUCUCUACCACAUGGAGCACCACAGUCGUGUCGAACCUAUUUUGGUUAGCCAUAUAGUUGAUCAAUGACCAUUUUCCUUUGCAUGUGAUCUAAUAUAUCACAUUGAUCCAAUCUCACCUAUUUAAAUCUUCUCCCUUCCUCCAUUCUCUUCUAUUCUUUAAAAGAGAAAACCCGAGAGAGUCGAGAGAAAUUUAGUGAGGAAACUGAGUGAAUUUUCAACAAGAAGGGCUGUGUGUUGCUGCUGCUAUAACCUUUGUUGCU
This 553-nucleotide long non-coding RNA is filed under the name Carica papaya (papaya). Its description in RNAcentral is "long non-coding RNA (CPAP_LNC009605)". The record is from RNAcentral. Lineage: Eukaryota; Viridiplantae; Streptophyta; Magnoliopsida; Brassicales; Caricaceae.